UUGUAAAUUUGGGUUGCUGGGCUGACAGGCCAAGCCGGGCAGUUCCUACUUUAGAAGGUAAAGAUCCCAUCCUUGACGGGCCUUACUGGAAAAGAGAAAACCCAAUCGAGAAAUGCUACCAAGCUGCAAAGAAACGCGGGUACCAGUAUUUCGCCAUACAGCACGGUGGAUGGUGUGCCUCUUCCAGUGACGCUGGGCAGACAUAUAAGAAAUAUGGGGCUUCUAUCAGAUGUCAGUCAGAUGGAGAAGGUGGACCAUGGGCUAAUCAAGUUUACAAGAUAUCGGACGAUAAGCAAGGUUCAUAAACCAACAGGAACCAUACCUUAUAAUACCCAUAUCGGUAAACGGCCAAUUUACAUACCGACAAUCGAGAACGUUGAGGACUACGAUUUUUGAAUACAAUUCAUGGGAGGUGAAAUUAAUGUUAACUGGUGAAGAAUAUAUACCAUGUGUUGGUGCUAAAUACUUGCAUUACUAAAAUGUGUAUUUCUUGAUGAUAUAUCUGAUGACGUCUCUUUAAAGUGCUUGAUGUUCUUAUGAAAUAUCGCAAUUUGGAAACUUGUCAAUACCACUUUUAUCCCUUAUGCAUAAUUGUUUGUAAAAGAAACUCGAAGAAAGAAAACUUUCAGGUAUUGAAAUAGGAAUGCCAAAAUCACAAUGUUACUAAAGCACUAUUAAUACAAAUGAAACUGUUAUCGUUGGAAAUCAAAUGUAGUCAAAAUAAGGUCAAAGUAACGUUGUUGAUGGAACAUACUGCCUUCUCCAAGGAACAUCUGAUAUUGAUGUUUAGAAGUCAUUUUUUUCUGCUUAAUUAAGUAACGAUUACCCUCUAUUUCACUUUUGUUGUUUUUUAUGCUUAUAGUGUCAAUUCAAAUUACUUGGACUCUCUGGGUAAAAAGCGGGAAUAAAUGGGUUAUAAAAUGAA
This is a long non-coding RNA of Lingula anatina, 925 nucleotides long. The record is from RefSeq and is a predicted model, not a curated record. Lineage: Eukaryota; Metazoa; Brachiopoda; Lingulata; Lingulida; Lingulidae.